RNAcentral lists this ribosomal RNA (352 nucleotides) under Salmonella enterica. RNAcentral's name for it is "bacterial SSU rRNA". It matches the Rfam family "Bacterial small subunit ribosomal RNA", at positions 1 to 351 of the family's 1533-position model. The record is from RNAcentral. Lineage: Bacteria; Pseudomonadati; Pseudomonadota; Gammaproteobacteria; Enterobacterales; Enterobacteriaceae.
AAAUUGAAGAGUUUGAUCAUGGCUCAGAUUGAACGCUGGCGGCAGGCCUAACACAUGCAAGUCGAACGGUAGCACAGAGAGCUUGCUCUCGGGUGACGAGUGGCGGACGGGUGAGUAAUGUCUGGGAAACUGCCUGAUGGAGGGGGAUAACUACUGGAAACGGUGGCUAAUACCGCAUAACGUCGCAAGACCAAAGAGGGGGACCUUCGGGCCUCUUGCCAUCAGAUGUGCCCAGAUGGGAUUAGCUAGUUGGUGAGGUAACGGCUCACCAAGGCGACGAUCCCUAGCUGGUCUGAGAGGAUGACCAGCCACACUGGAACUGAGACACGGUCCAGACUCCUACGGGAGGCAG